This is a long non-coding RNA of Gossypium arboreum, 1144 nucleotides long. RefSeq lists it as uncharacterized. NCBI's taxonomy places the organism in Eukaryota, Viridiplantae, Streptophyta, Magnoliopsida, Malvales, Malvaceae. The record is from RefSeq and is a predicted model, not a curated record. The transcript is spliced from 3 exons.
ACCAUUUCAAAAAUUGGUUAGAAAUCAAAUCAAGAGAAUUCUCUCAAAAUUCCCUUCAUCCUUUUUAUUUUCUUAGCAUCCAAACACCUUUUUUCUCCUUAAUUUCAAAAGAAAUUCGCUCUUUCUCUUUCCAUUUUCUAUUAACACUUUGCUUCUUUUUGCUCAAAAUUAUCUAAUUUCAUGGUGAUCUUUGAAUUGAAGCCUUUGUUCGUGAGGGAGCAUCCAUGAGCAACGAUAAGGGCAAAUAGAAGGUGGUGUAGGCUCAACAAUCAGCGGCGAAACGCAGUUGAGUUGUAACAAGCUCAUUUUUUACUGGUGUCGGAAAUAGUGGUUUUGGGGCCACAAAACAGUCGAGUAAGUUCAUAAAUAUUAUUAUUUAAUAUUUAUAAGUUAAAUAUGGUAUUAAAAUAAAUUUUUAAUUUACAAUUUAUGCUACUCGAAUGAACAAUUAAGUUCAAGUGGUAAAACCCUAAAGUCAAGUGAUUUUAGAAAAUGAGGUAUCGAGACCUCGUUUCUAUAAACCAAGCCAUAAAUAUUUUUAUAAAUAUUUAUGGAAUGUUAUUAAGGUUGUAUUAAAGUUUCGUUAAGAAAUUUUGAUGUUUAGAUAGUUAAUUAAGCAAAAAGGAUUAAAUCGUGGUAGUUGAAAAAGUCAAUCGCUAUUGGUUUAAAGGUGUUAAUUAAUUAAAGAAACAUAAUUGGAGGACCUUAAUGGAUAAAUUUCCCAUUCUUAUGAUGGUGGACGGUGUAAGCUUUAAAUUCUUUAAUUUUAUAUGUUUAUAUGUUAUUUUUUAUUAUUAAAAUAAAGUAAAAAGGUAAAUAAAAAUAACAAAGCAUAAUUCUUCUUCAAUUGCUUCGUUCAUCACCGAAACACCAUGGCAAGAAGAACCAAGGUUCGACCAUGCUUCAACUUAUGCAUGGCCCAUUUCACAGCUCGUGUGAGCUAUGAUGUAAAGGAAAGGAAAUGUUACAGUUAUAUGUUAGCACACUUCGUGUGAGCUAUCCCGCGUAUCCAAUGAUAUUCUAAACGGUUCAAUGGGCAUGAAAAGGAAAGGAAUGGUAAGUGUUCAAAAUGAACCAUAUCAUGUAUUUAUGAAAAGGGUUGAAAUGAUAAGUUUCAUUAAAAGUAUGAUAUGUUAAGGAAAAA